This 290-nucleotide ribosomal RNA is filed under the name uncultured bacterium. RNAcentral's name for it is "partial 16S ribosomal RNA". It matches the Rfam family "Bacterial small subunit ribosomal RNA", at positions 123 to 406 of the family's 1533-position model. The record is from RNAcentral.
AAUCUGCCGAGAUGUGGGGGAUAGCUCGCCGAAAGGCGAAUUAAUACCGCAUGUGGUUAGUGUUGGAUUCAACACGACACCAAAGCCGGGGCAACCUGGCGCAUCUUGAUGAGCCCGCGGCCUAUCAGCUAGUUGGUGAGGUAACGGCUCACCAAGGCUAUGACGGGUAGCUGGUCUGAGAGGACGACCAGCCACACUGGAACUGAGACACGGUCCAGACACCUACGGGUGGCAGCAGUCGAGAAUUUUUCUCAAUGGGGGUAACCCUGAAGGAGCGACGCCGCGUGGAG